This 372-nucleotide ribosomal RNA is filed under the name uncultured bacterium. RNAcentral describes it as "bacterial SSU rRNA". It matches the Rfam family "Bacterial small subunit ribosomal RNA", at positions 524 to 898 of the family's 1533-position model. The record is from RNAcentral.
UACGGAGGGUGCAAGCGUUAUCCGGAAUCACUGGGUUUAAAGGGUGCGUAGGCGGCUUGGUAAGUCAGAGGUGAAAGCUCGCAGCUUAACUGCGGAACUGCCUUUGAUACUGCCGGGCUUGAAUCAGGACGAGGUUGGCGGAAUGUGGCAUGUAGCGGUGAAAUGCAUAGAUAUGCCAUAGAACACCGAUUGCGAAGGCAGCUGGCUAGACCUGCAUUGACGCUGAGGCACGAAAGCGUGGGGAGCGAACAGGAUUAGAUACCCUGGUAGUCCACGCCCUAAACGAUGUUCACUCGACGUAUGGGGGCAACCUUGUGCGUCCAAGCGAAAGCGAUAAGUGAACCACCUGGGGAGUACGUCGGCAACGAUGAA